This 85-nucleotide transfer RNA is filed under the name Clostridiales bacterium. RNAcentral describes it as "tRNA-Leu". It matches the Rfam family "tRNA". Rfam says of the family: Transfer RNA (tRNA) molecules are approximately 80 nucleotides in length. Their secondary structure includes four short double-helical elements and three loops (D, anti-codon, and T loops). Lineage: Bacteria; Bacillati; Bacillota; Clostridia; Eubacteriales. The record is from RNAcentral.
GCUGGAGUGGCGGAAUGGCAGACGCCGGAGAUUUAAAAUCUCCUGUCUUAUGGGCGUGCGGGUUCGAGUCCCGCCUUCAGCACCA